GACGAACGCUGGCGGCGUGCUUAACACAUGCAAGUCGAACGGUGAAGCUCCAGCUUGCUGGAGUGGAUCAGUGGCGAACGGGUGAGUAACACGUGAGCAACCUGCCCCUGACUCUGGAAUAAGCGCUGGAAACGGCGUCUAAUACUGGAUACGAGAAGGGUCCGCAUGGGCACUUUCUGGAAAGUUUUUCGGUUGGGGAUGGGCUCGCGGCCUAUCAGCUUGUUGGUGAGGUAAUGGCUCACCAAGGCGACGACGGGUAGUCGGCCUGAGAGGGCGACCGGCCACACUGGGACUGAGACACGGCCCAGACUCCUACGGGAGGCAGCAGUGGGGAAUAUUGCACAAUGGGCGAAAGCCUGAUGCAGCGACGCCGCGUGAGGGAUGACGGCCUUCGGGUUGUAAACCUCUUUCAGCAGGGAAGAAGCGAAAGUGACGGUACCUGCAGAAGAAGCACCGGCUAACUACGUG
Molecule: ribosomal RNA, 468 nt
Filed under: uncultured bacterium
Lineage: Bacteria
Description: partial 16S ribosomal RNA
Rfam family: Bacterial small subunit ribosomal RNA
Source: RNAcentral